RNAcentral lists this ribosomal RNA (676 nucleotides) under Talaromyces neofusisporus. RNAcentral describes it as "LSU rRNA". It matches the Rfam family "Eukaryotic large subunit ribosomal RNA", at positions 145 to 839 of the family's 3401-position model. The record is from RNAcentral. Lineage: Eukaryota; Fungi; Ascomycota; Eurotiomycetes; Eurotiales; Trichocomaceae.
GUAAUUUGCAGAGGAUGCUUCGGGUGCGGUCCCCGUCUAAGUGCCCUGGAACGGGCCGUCAUAGAGGGUGAGAAUCCCGUCUGGGAUGGGCGGCCGCGCCCGUGUGAAGCUCCUUCGACGAGUCGAGUUGUUUGGGAAUGCAGCUCUAAGCGGGUGGUAAAUUUCAUCUAAAGCUAAAUACUGGCCGGAGACCGAUAGCGCACAAGUAGAGUGAUCGAAAGAUGAAAAGCACUUUGAAAAGAGAGUUAAACAGCACGUGAAAUUGUUGAAAGGGAAGCGUUGUCCACCAGACUCGCCCGGGGGGGUUCAGCCGGCACGUGUGCCGGUGUACUCCUCUCCGGGCGGGCCAGCAUCGGUUUGGGCGGCUGGUGAAAGGCCCCGGGAAUGUAACACCCUCCGGGGUGCCUUAUAGCCCGGGGUGCCAUACAGCCAGCCUGGACCGAGGCCCGCGCUUCGGCGAGGAUGCUGGCGUAAUGGUGGUCAACGGCCCGUCUUGAAACACGGACCAAGGAGUCUAACAUCUAUGCGAGUGUUCGGGUGUCAAACCCGUCCGCGCAGUGAAAGCGAACGGAGGUGGGAGCCCCUCGGGGCGCACCAUCGACCGAUCCUGAUGUCUUCGGAUGGAUUUGAGUAAGAGCAUAGCUGUUGGGACCCGAAAGAUGGUGAACUAUGCCUG